UUUCAAGGAACAACAGAGAGAUGGUAUUUCCAGACAAGGGAACAAAUUCCCGGAAGCAACUGGUCAAGGAAUGAAAAUCCUGGAGAACAGAGUGGAAGAAACCCGUAUUCCAUGUUUCCUGUUGAUUUUCUUUCCUCCCUAAACACUGACCUCCCGCAGUCUUCACUAGCAGGUGAGAUCACCUGUAGAGGUCAUGCUGCCCAGUCUCAAGUCCCUGAUUAUAUUCAAGACGUGGAGCUCUCUUUUUCCCGUCCUGCUUUCUUUCCAGAAGUGCCUCAGAUGCAUCCUCCCCUUCUCUUUUCUCCACAUGAAGACAUCACUGACCAUCUUCUCUGGUUUGCUUUCCAACACCGAGCGCCAAGUGCUUCAAAGGUCAUGGUGCCCUGGGGCCAACAGCUACUUAUGUGGGCAUUUAUAACCAAAUAAAUAUUGAAAUGGCCCACAAAGCAAAUGUUAGUGGUAACCAACAGCGGUAAAAUUGGGGACAUAGGACCCUGCACCUUCUUGAAUGUUCCCCAUGAGACCCUGGGCCGACCUUCAGGUUUUCCAGUGUGCUCAGAAAAUCCUCCGUGGCUCCCAGCCCCAGUUUAGUCUUUCAACGGUCCUCGGACUGAAGUAAGGGACGGGGAGGGAAUUGUCCAAGGUUUUCCAGCAUGCUGAGAACACUUACCAUGGUGGAGCCUGGCACAUACUGGCUCUUUGAUGCAUGUGUAUUGGUCUCAAGUAGCCAGAAGCAUCUCCUCUGAGAGCCCUUGCUCUCCAGUUUAAAUGACAAAUGGAAGGGAAUCGGUUCUGGAAGGCCCCAGGUGGGCUGGGGUGGGUUCUGGAGACCAUCUUUCAACUCCUCUUCAGGAGGAGGGUUGGUCAAAUCAGCUCUGUGGCCACCUGGGCACUGGAGGGGCCAGAUACAGGCAGAUGCAGCCCACAGGAGGAAGAGCACCACGUGCGGGUGAAGCCCAUAGCUGGAACCAAAAGGCCCCAGGAGGGAUCCUAGCUCUGACAUCUUCCAGCCGUGUGGCCUUGGGCAAGGUCCCUGACUUGGACCUCAGCCUCCUUAUCUGUAAAAUAGGCAGAACAGUAAUAUCGACCUUGUAGGCUGUAUAGAGUUCAUAUACAUCAAGCACUUACCACAGUGCCCGGCGGACCGCAUGCCCUAAACACACAAUCCGUGAAAUGAAUCCAUCAGCAAGCAGCUGCUGGGGGCAGUGUGGGGCAGAGAGGCAGCUGCCUGCUGGAACUGGCUGACAGGAGGAUGAGUGUGUGGCAGGAGGAACGCUCUGCACAGAGGACACUAGGUAGCGUCACCUGUCUCUUACACUGUGUCUCCACUGGAAUGGAAUGUCAGACUCGCACCAUGCAUUCCUUUCCCUGCCAAAACGCCUCCUCUUAGCAGUGAGCAAGAAAGUUGUUCGAGUGGAUGAAGCCAAAAGCCCAUUUGGCAAGAGUGCUGUUUUGGAAAAUGCUUAGCGGUGUGGGUUGGGAUGAGGUUUUCUGUGCCUUUCCAUUAUUUCUUCAGCUUCAUGUAACCCUGACUGAGCAAUGCUCAGCAGAGUGAAGGCUGGGCAGCAGAUGGACAAGAUUUUCUCAAACUCCUUUUUGAGCCAAUUUCAAAAUAGAGAGAGGGAAAAAUCCUUGUUUUCUCUUUUCGGUUUUGAGAGGUUUCAUAUGCAGACACAAUUUUAAAUUUUGUUUUUUUUGCUCCCAAUGAGAUGUUUGGAGAUGGUGGUACUGGAACAGGAAGGAAUUUAUAAGCAUUGGGGAAUUUUUCACCCCAAUGCCCAUAUCCUCCUAUAAUUCAAGAAGUGAAUGGGUAGCGUUUUUGUUUUUGUGAGAGGGGUGGCAGAGGGUAGAGAGAGAAAGAGAGAGAAGCAGAGAGAGAUUACAUAGAGAUGUCCAAAAUGAACACAGUAAAAACCAGUUUUGAUUAAUUCUGCAAUACUAAGUAGGCAGCCAAAGAUUUUGGGCUGCUUAAUUCUUAGCUCAUCUAAGUCUCCUGUUGACUGAUUGAUUGAUUGAAUGACUUAUUCAACAUGCGCUAGCCAGACACUGGUCUAGGGCCCAGGAAUUCAGCAAUAAAUGAAACAAGACAAAAAAAA
RNAcentral lists this non-coding RNA (2096 nucleotides) under Pongo abelii (Sumatran orangutan). The record is from RNAcentral. Lineage: Eukaryota; Metazoa; Chordata; Mammalia; Primates; Hominidae.